This 253-nucleotide ribosomal RNA is filed under the name uncultured bacterium. RNAcentral describes it as "partial 16S ribosomal RNA". It matches the Rfam family "Bacterial small subunit ribosomal RNA", at positions 524 to 776 of the family's 1533-position model. The record is from RNAcentral.
UACGAAUGGAGCAAGCGUUGUUCGGAAUCACUGGGCUUAAAGCGUGCGCAGGCGGAUCUGCAAGUCAGGUGUGAAAUCCCGGGGCUUAACCCCGGAACUGCACUUGAAACUGCAAAUCUAGAAUCCUGGAGAGGUCGGGGGAAUUCCGAGUGUAGAGGUGAAAUUCGCAGAUAUUCGGAGGAACACCAGUGGCGUAGGCGCCCGACUGGACAGGUAUUGACGCUCAGGCACGAAAGCGUGGGGAGCAAACAGG